Molecule: ribosomal RNA, 503 nt
Filed under: Salmonella enterica subsp. enterica serovar Typhimurium
Lineage: Bacteria; Pseudomonadati; Pseudomonadota; Gammaproteobacteria; Enterobacterales; Enterobacteriaceae
Description: bacterial SSU rRNA
Rfam family: Bacterial small subunit ribosomal RNA
Source: RNAcentral
GUAAGCUUGCUGCUUCGCUGACGAGUGGCGGACGGGUGAGUAAUGUCUGGGAAACUGCCUGAUGGAGGGGGAUAACUACUGGAAACGGUGGCUAAUACCGCAUAACGUCGCAAGACCAAAGAGGGGGACCUUCGGGCCUCUUGCCAUCAGAUGUGCCCAGAUGGGAUUAGCUUGUUGGUGAGGUAACGGCUCACCAAGGCGACGAUCCCUAGCUGGUCUGAGAGGAUGACCAGCCACACUGGAACUGAGACACGGUCCAGACUCCUACGGGAGGCAGCAGUGGGGAAUAUUGCACAAUGGGCGCAAGCCUGAUGCAGCCAUGCCGCGUGUAUGAAGAAGGCCUUCGGGUUGUAAAGUACUUUCAGCGGGGAGGAAGGUGUUGUGGUAAUAACCGCAGCAAUUGACGUUACCCGCAGAAGAAGCACCGGCUAACUCCGUGCCAGAGCCGCGGUAAUAACGGGAGGGUGCAAGCGUUAAUCGGAYAUUAUGGGCGAAAGCGCACG